Molecule: ribosomal RNA, 779 nt
Filed under: uncultured bacterium
Lineage: Bacteria
Description: bacterial SSU rRNA
Rfam family: Bacterial small subunit ribosomal RNA
Source: RNAcentral
GUCGACGGCAGCACGGGAGCAAUCCUGGUGGCGAGUGGCGAACGGGUGAGUAAUAUAUCGGAACGUGCCCAGUCGUGGGGGAUAACGCAGCGAAAGCUGUGCUAAUACCGCAUACGAUCUAAGGAUGAAAGCGGGGGAUCGCAAGACCUCGCGCGAUUGGAGUGGCCGAUAUCAGAUUAGCUAGUUGGUGGGGUAAAAGCUUACCAAGGCGACGAUCUGUAGCUGGUCUGAGAGGACGACCAGCCACACUGGAACUGAGACACGGUCCAGACUCCUACGGGAGGCAGCAGUGGGGAAUUUUGGACAAUGGGCGCAAGCCUGAUCCAGCAAUGCCGCGUGCAGGAUGAAGGCCUUCGGGUUGUAAACUGCUUUUGUACGGAGCGAAAAGGCACUCACUAAUACUGGGUGUUAAUGACGGUACCGUAAGAAUAAGCACCGGCUAACUACGUGCCAGCAGCCGCGGUAAUACGUAGGGUGCGAGCGUUAAUCGGAAUUACUGGGCGUAAAGCGUGCGCAGGCGGUUUUGUAAGACAGAUGUGAAAACCCCGGGCUCAACCUGGGAACUGCAUUUGUGACUGCAAGACUGGAGUACGGCAGAGGGGGAUGGAAUUCCGCGUGUAGCAGUGAAAUGCGUAGAUAUGCGGAGGAACACCGAUGGCGAAGGCAUCCCCUGGCCUGUACUGACGCUCAUGCACGAGCGUGCGGGCAAACAGGAUUAGAUACCCUGGUAGUCCACGCCCUAAACGAUGUCAACUGGUUGUUGGGUCUUAACUGACUCA